Molecule: ribosomal RNA, 392 nt
Filed under: uncultured bacterium
Lineage: Bacteria
Description: partial 16S ribosomal RNA
Rfam family: Bacterial small subunit ribosomal RNA
Source: RNAcentral
AUACGGAGGAUCCGAGCGUUAUCCGGAUUUAUUGGGUUUAAAGGGUGCGCAGGCGGCCAUUUAAGCCAGCGGUUAAAUCGUGGGGCUCAACCCCAUUCUGCCGUUGAUACUGGGUGGCUUGAUUGCGGUCGAGGUUGGCGGAAUUCGUUGUGUAGCGGUGAAAUGCAUAGAUAUGACGAAGAACACCGAUUGCGUAGGCAGCUGACCAGACCGCAAAUGACGCUCAUGCACGAAAGUGCGGGGAUCGAACAGGAUUAGAUACCCUGGUAGUCCGCACAGUAAACGAUGAAUACUUGUUUUCGGCGAUAUAAUGUCGGAGGCAAAGCGAAAGCGAUAAGUAUUCCACCUGGGGAGUACGCCGGCAACGGUGAAACUCAAAGGAAUUGACGGGG